GAACAUACAAAGUAUUUAUCGCUAGAAAGAGUGGGCUCGCGUCUGUAUUAGAUAGUUGGGUGGGGUAACGGCCUACCAAGUCGACGAUCAGUAGCCGGACUGAGAGGUUGAACGGCCACAUUGGGACUGAGAUACGGCCCAGACUCCUACGGGGAGGCAGCAGGUGGGGGAAUAUUGCACAAUGGGGGAAACCCUGAUGCAGCAACGCCGCGUGAAGGAUGACGGUUUUCGGAUUGUAAACUUCUUUUCUUAGUGACGAAGACAGUGACGGUAGCUAAGGAAUAAGCAUCGGCUAACUACGUG
Molecule: ribosomal RNA, 303 nt
Filed under: uncultured bacterium
Lineage: Bacteria
Description: bacterial SSU rRNA
Rfam family: Bacterial small subunit ribosomal RNA
Source: RNAcentral